AUUGAACGCUGGCGGCAUGCUUUACACAUGCAAGUCGAACGGUAACAGGGUGCUUGCACCGCUGACGAGUGGCGAACGGGUGAGUAAUGCGUCGGAACGUGCCGAGUAGUGGGGGAUAACGCAGCGAAAGUUGUGCUAAUACCGCAUACGUACUGAGGUAGAAAGUGGGGGACCUUCGGGCCUCACGCUAUUCGAGCGGCCGACGUCUGAUUAGCUAGUAGGUGAGGUAAAGGCUCACCUAGGCGACGAUCAGUAGCGGGUCUGAGAGGAUGAUCCGCCACACUGGGACUGAGACACGGACCAGACUCCUACGGGAGGCAGCAGUGGGGAAUUUUGGACAAUGGGCGAAAGCCUGAUCCAGCCAUGCCGCGUGUCUGAAGAAGGCUUUCGGGUUGUAAAGGACUUUUGUCAGGGAGGAAAUCCCUAGUGCUAAUAACACUGGGGGAUGACAGUACCUGAAGAAUAAGCACCGGCUAACUACGUGCCAGCCGCCGCGGUAA
This 500-nucleotide ribosomal RNA is filed under the name uncultured bacterium. RNAcentral's name for it is "partial 16S ribosomal RNA". It matches the Rfam family "Bacterial small subunit ribosomal RNA", at positions 30 to 523 of the family's 1533-position model. The record is from RNAcentral.